This 581-nucleotide small RNA is filed under the name Pongo abelii (Sumatran orangutan). RNAcentral describes it as "processed transcript". Lineage: Eukaryota; Metazoa; Chordata; Mammalia; Primates; Hominidae. The record is from RNAcentral.
GACUGUCAUUUAAGAAUGAGUGAAGUUGAGGUGCCUGUAAGCAACUCAGAAAUUGUUGUGGCCGUGCUUGGGGGAACUAGAGCCCUACACUCAGGUGAUGAGAGACCUCAGAGGUGACCGAUCCAGGGCCUUUCUCCCUGCGGCACCCCAGCUUGUACCUCCAGUGGAACUUGGCUGGGCUUAUCAAGAGCUCCUUUCAUUCACUGCAACUUCAUUUGUUAGAAAGCUUCUCUGUGUAUUUAGUAGGCAUUGUCUCCAACAUGUACCACUGGUCUGGCUUUUGUUAGGCCCAUUAAUAGUGUACAUAUGACAGCCUUUCUAGUACAGGUGCUCCUCGACUUACGGUGGGGUCGCAUCCCAGUAAACACAUCGUUAAACCUGAAGUCGAACCAUCCGAAGUCGGAGACCAUCUGUAUUUGAAAAAAGUCGCUUUGCAUUCCUUGUAAGAGUUCUGGUUUUCAAGUAUUGCCUAAGUGUAAUCUUGAACAUGGGCGGUGCUGUGAGUGCUGGUGAAGACAAUGAUGAGCUGAUAGAUAAUUUGAAAGAAGCACAGUAUAUCCGGACUGAACUGGUAGAGCAGG